AGAGUUGGCAGCUAGGGUUCCGGUUCUCAUCGCGAGAACGCUGGUCCGAGAGCAGCCGCCAGGGGAGAGCCCUGGUGCACGGCGGGAUAAAAACCCGGGAGAC
Molecule: non-coding RNA, 103 nt
Organism: Bradyrhizobium sp.
Lineage: Bacteria; Pseudomonadati; Pseudomonadota; Alphaproteobacteria; Hyphomicrobiales; Nitrobacteraceae
Source: Rfam